Long non-coding RNA from Biomphalaria glabrata, 524 nucleotides. RefSeq lists it as uncharacterized. The record is from RefSeq and is a predicted model, not a curated record. The transcript has 2 exons. Lineage: Eukaryota; Metazoa; Mollusca; Gastropoda; Planorbidae.
CCCACUUUUUUUUUCUCUCCUCUGAUUCACAAACUGUACACAAUAAAAGGAACGCGUUUUAAUAGGAUACCAACUAGUUAUUGCUUGAGAGGUGUUUCAAACAACCCUCCACAUUUAGAUCUGUCAUCAUCAGCAAUAGAGAUGCUGGAGAUGAAUGACACACAUUUCACAAGCCUGCAUCCAAUACUACAAGGCAAGCCAGCACCUGGAACCCACAAGGAAAGAGGAAGAGGGGAUGGCCCAGGAAUACAUGGCGCUGGGCAAGAUGUGGAGUGACUGCCCAGAAUCAAGAUGAAUGGAGGGAGGAAGCUGGCUGAUGCCCUAUGCCCCAUUAAUUUAAUGUUAGUCAUACUCCACAUAAAAGGUUAGAACAAUCACUCAAAUUCUGUAUGUAUAAACUUACCGCAGGAUAAUCAAAUUCUGCUUGACUUGCUUUGUCUUGAAUAUAAUCCACUUUGGCUUUAUUUGAGGGGUUCUCUAGAUGUACAGGAGGAUUAAGUGUGCUCAUAGCUCCUGUUAUAGUC